Molecule: ribosomal RNA, 347 nt
Filed under: uncultured bacterium
Lineage: Bacteria
Description: partial 16S ribosomal RNA
Rfam family: Bacterial small subunit ribosomal RNA
Source: RNAcentral
CCUACGGGCGGCAGCAGUGGGGAAUAUUGGGCAAUGGGCGCAAGCCUGACCCAGCAACGCCGCGUGAAGGAAGAAGGCUCUCGGGUUGUAAACUUCUUUUCUCAGGGACGAAGCAAGUGACGGUACCUGAGGAAUAAGCCACGGCGAAUUACGUGCCAGCAGCCGCGGUAAUACGUAGGUGGCAAGCUUUAUCCUGAUUUACUUGGUUUAAAGGACGUGUGGGCGGGAAAGGAAGUCAGAUGUGAAAACUAUGGGCUCAAACUGUGGCCUGCAUUUGAAACUGUUUUUCUUGAGUACUUGAGAGGCAGACGGAAUUCGUAGUGUAGCGGUGAAAUGCGUAGAUAUUA